GCCGAAAUGGCGGAAUUGGCAGACGCAGCGGACUCAAAAUCCGCCGCCGUCAAAAGCGUGCGGGUUCGACUCCCGCUUUCGGCACCA
This 87-nucleotide transfer RNA is filed under the name Peptococcaceae bacterium. RNAcentral's name for it is "tRNA-Leu". It matches the Rfam family "tRNA". Rfam says of the family: Transfer RNA (tRNA) molecules are approximately 80 nucleotides in length. Their secondary structure includes four short double-helical elements and three loops (D, anti-codon, and T loops). Lineage: Bacteria; Bacillati; Bacillota; Clostridia; Eubacteriales; Peptococcaceae. The record is from RNAcentral.